Molecule: non-coding RNA, 1470 nt
Organism: Caretta caretta (loggerhead turtle)
Lineage: Eukaryota; Metazoa; Chordata; Testudines; Cheloniidae
Source: RefSeq, a predicted model, not a curated record
CCCUCGAACCACAUGAUCUCCUGAGGAAGUCCAUCUGCCCCCAGAACAGGAACUCUGGGGAACGUGUCCGAUAUGCUAAUGAGGAGCACAACGAGAAACACUAGGGGGCAAAAGCAACUCUUCAUUUUGGCAGGGCGAGGCUGCCGGGCUGUCAGCUCAGCAAGAUUCACAUCGGGUGGCUGCAGCUGCAGAGAAGAAGGAGCCCGAUAUACUGGGAUGAGCACUAGUUGCUGAACCAUCCCCCGCCCCCUGUUUUUGGAGAACAAAAGCAUGGGGAACCAUGGGAAGACAUCGUCCUGUGUUUUCCUGUUAGUUGCCCUCAUCUUAGUGACAACUGGUCUGAUUGCCUGUGUGGUCUUUAUCUCCUUAGCCCCGACCCGGCUGAGACAGUGCCAGGAGCAGCUGAAGAAUGACACCUCAGCUCUGAUGGGGAAACUCGCCAACCUGGAGGAGGACAAGGGGGCCCUGGAAAAGCAGCGGGACGGGCGAGGGCAGAGGUCACGGCGCUGCGGUGGGAGCUGGCUGGCGCCAAUCAGACCCUCUGGGAGACGCGUGGGCGCUGGGAUUCCUGCAGGAGCCUGACGCACGACCUGCAAAACAACAUCACUGCCCUGAAGGAUGAAAUCACCCAGCUGGGAGGCCGAGACACUGAGCAAGGACGGGGACAAGGUGAAAUAGUCAAGCUCAGACAGCAGCUCCAAGAGGCUCAGCAGCAUAGUGAUAAACUGCAAGCUGCCAUCCGGCAGCUGGAGCAGCAGCGGCCCCAUAGCCAGAAGAAUCAGAGCUCUGGUGGGAGCAGCCUCCGGAUCCCAAUCGUGGCCGGCUACCUGAGCCUGCUGGCUCUGUCCCUCACCAGGGUCCUACUCCUGUGAGAGAAGCAGGUUUGUACAGGGCUGACCACGCAGCGGGAGAGUGGAGAAUCCCCACGGGAACACGGUGCAAUGCAUAACGCAGCCAGCUUGCCCCCAUCCCCAAAACGCUCACGGGAACUAUUCUAAGUCACUAGCUUGCUUGGCAUUUCCCCUGGGUCGCGCAGGGAGACGGCUCCUGCCCAGCCCAGCCCUGGCGGAAGGAUCUCGGCUCCUGCCCAGCACUGGAAGACGAUGGGGAAACGGUGAAGAAGAUCCAGAGGGUGAAGAGCACAGGGAGGAAGGCGCCAAUUCAUCCAGAGCCCCUGGGGUUUCUUGGCUGGAGAUUGCCCCAGACGACGGUUGCCCUGAGCGGGGUUAAGCCCCAGCUGGGGUAUUUGCUGCUCCCUUAGGGUUUCUAUUUUUCUAAUAAAAUGUUGCCAACCCCAAAGUUUUGUGGUGUCAUUUGUCCUCCCACAUCCUGCCUGAUCAGAGACACGGGGCUCAGAGUGAGCAGCCCCGGAGCCGUGUUCGUGGCCAUCGCACGCCUGACCUGCCUUCAGAGAGCAGGGAAGAGGCAGCUCAAACUUUGCUGCUAGUUUGGAGCACGGGGCAAACCCCU